This 253-nucleotide ribosomal RNA is filed under the name uncultured bacterium. Its description in RNAcentral is "partial 16S ribosomal RNA". It matches the Rfam family "Bacterial small subunit ribosomal RNA", at positions 524 to 776 of the family's 1533-position model. The record is from RNAcentral.
UACGAAGGGGGCUAGCGUUGCUCGGAAUCACUGGGCGUAAAGCGCACGUAGGCCGUUAGCUAAGUCAGGGGUGAAAUCCUGGAGCUCAACUCCAGAACUGCCUUUGAUACUGGCGGACUCGAGUCCGGGAGAGGUGAGUGGAACUGCGAGUGUAGAGGUGAAAUUCGUAGAUAUUCGCAAGAACACCAGUGGCGAAGGCGGCUCACUGGCCCGGUACUGACGCUGAGGUGCGAAAGCGUGGGGAGCAAACAGG